Danio aesculapii is the source of this 389-nucleotide long non-coding RNA. RefSeq lists it as uncharacterized. Lineage: Eukaryota; Metazoa; Chordata; Actinopteri; Cypriniformes; Danionidae. The transcript has 4 exons. The record is from RefSeq and is a predicted model, not a curated record.
AGGUGAAUUUAUUUUGUAGCCCAUUAGCAAAGCGACUUCCUCUUAAAGAACAGAUGCCUCGCUAAGCUGUGUAAAAGUGGAUUAUAACGCGACUUAUAACGCGUUUACAAGUUUGACAGCUUGGAAGCUGAUUAUGGUAAUUGAUACCAACUGGUGAGAAGCAUGGAGCUGUACUGGUACAUAGUCGUCAUAAUAUUUAUUAUGAUUAAGAUCUUCUUCUACAUCUGCUGGUAUCGCUCAAGGCAAAGGCAGCUCGCUGCGUACCUCAGUAAUCCCCGAAAUGCUCAGAUAGUCAUUGUGGGAGGACGAGCAUACCUUCAUCAGAUCUGUGAGAGACAAAAUACAUCAAUCUGGCCCAAUUGGUACGGAGUUUCAGGACGACGGCUCGG